CGAACGCUGGCGGCAGGCCUAAUACAUGCAAGUCGAACGGCUCUUCGGAGCAGUGGCGGACGGGUGAGUAACGCGUGGGAAUGUGCCCUUAGGUACGGAACAACACAGGGAAACUUGUGCUAAUACCGUAUGUGCCCUUCGGGGGAAAGAUUUAUCGCCUUUGGAGCAGCCCGCGUUGGAUUAGGUAGUUGGUGAGGUAAAGGCUCACCAAGCCGACGAUCCAUAGCUGGUCUGAGAGGAUGACCAGCCACACUGGGACUGAGACACGGCCCAGACUCCUACGGGAGGCAGCAGUAGGGAAUCUUGCGCAAUGGGCGAAAGCCUGACGCAGCCAUGCCGCGUGUAUGAUGAAGGUCUUAGGAUUGUAAAAUACUUUCACCGGGGAAGAUAAUGACGGUACCCGGAGAAGAAGCCCCGGCUAACUUCGUGCCAGCAGCCGCCGCGG
RNAcentral lists this ribosomal RNA (445 nucleotides) under uncultured bacterium. RNAcentral describes it as "partial 16S ribosomal RNA". It matches the Rfam family "Bacterial small subunit ribosomal RNA", at positions 30 to 523 of the family's 1533-position model. The record is from RNAcentral.